GGAAUAUUGCACAAUGGGGGAAACCCUGAUGCAGCGACGCCGCGUGAGUGAAGAAGCGUUUCGGCGCGUAAAGCUCUGUCAGCAGGAAAGAAAAUGACGGUACCUGACCAAGAAGCCCCGGCUAACUACGUGCCAGCAGCCGCGGUAAUACGUAGGGGGCAAGCGUUAUCCGGAUUUACUGGGUGUAAAGGGAGCGUAGACGGCGCGGCAAGUCCGAAGUGAAAGGCGGGGGCCCAACCCCCGGACUGCUUUGGAAACUGUCAUGCUUGAGUGCGGGAGGGGCAGGCGGAAUUCCUAGUGUAGCGGUGAAAUGCGUAGAUAUUAGGAGGAACACCGGCGGCGAAGGCGGCCUGCUGGACCGUAACUGACGUUGAGGCUCGAAGGCGUGGGGAGCAAACA
Molecule: ribosomal RNA, 399 nt
Filed under: uncultured bacterium
Lineage: Bacteria
Description: bacterial SSU rRNA
Rfam family: Bacterial small subunit ribosomal RNA
Source: RNAcentral